This 420-nucleotide ribosomal RNA is filed under the name Triticum aestivum (bread wheat). RNAcentral describes it as "partial small subunit ribosomal RNA". Lineage: Eukaryota; Viridiplantae; Streptophyta; Magnoliopsida; Poales; Poaceae. The record is from RNAcentral.
AUGCGUCAAUUGAAGCUUGUGCGCAACAUGAGGGCUCAAAAUGACCCGUGGUUCGCAGAAUACCUACUACGCAUUGGAAACAGAACUAAGCAGACGAAUGAUGAUGGUGAAAUACUUCUACCUAGAAGUAUAUGUGUGGCAAAUAAGACGGAUGAUAAUGGCCUGGACAUACUCAUUGACAAUAUCUACCAAACAGGCAAUGCUUUCCUAAUAAAGGAUCCAAAGUACAUCACUUCAAGAGCAAUUUUAUCCACAAGGAACGACUGUGUGGACAAAAUCAACUUAAAAAUGAUUGAUCGCUUCCAGGGGGAGGACAUGGUGUACCACAACUUUGAUUCCGUAGAAGACGACCCACAUAACUACUAUCCACCAGAAUACAUAAACACCCUAACCCCAAAUGGACUUCCUCUACAUAUGUGA